GAGCUCCUCUACAAAUGCAGCUCCUUCCCUUCUGUGAAUGCUGCUUUACACACCAGCCCCUGCAAUGGCUCUAGGGCAGAACUGGCUGGCACUCACCUGUCAGCACCAAACUCUUCCCCAUGACCCUGAUUCUUCUGCCCUUUCCAGGACUUACCCAGCAGCUGUAAAUGUGCUCACACAAUGUCCCUUUGUUUCCCCAGGAAGAAGCGAACAAGACAAGUCCUGAGGGUUACCCUGCUCCGUGGGGAAGUUCCUCUGGAGAGUGGCAGGGGGCGUUUCCUGCAGGGUGUCCCAGCAGGCUGGGAGCGCAGGGCAGGAGGAGCCAGAAGCUCCUGAAGGCAGCAGCCCCUCGUGUCUGUGGGAUCUGCAGGAGGAGCUGUGCCUGCACCGUGGCUCCUGGGCCAGGGGCUGCUCUGAGCAGGCACGUGGAAAUGCUCCAGCCCACACAGAGCACCAAGAGCCCAGGAGGAGCCCAAGGAGCAGCUGGCAUUACCUGGGAAUGGAGGCACGGCCCGUUAGCACAGGGGCUCACGCAGCAAUUCCCGGUUCAGAGCUCCCACACAGCUGCCAGCUAUGUCCCAGCCACCCCAAAUCCCUUCCCUCCUGCCCAGCCUGAGGCCACCAUCCAUCAGCAGCACUGAAGCCAAGGCAAUCUUUCCCCACAGACAUUAAAUCCCAGGCAGUAGCCCUCAGAGACACCUGGAAAUCAGUGGGAUGGAGUUUGGAGUUUUUCAGGAUCCAGCUGCAAGUGCACAAGUGGUGGAAAGCUUUCACAGGUAGGUCCCACUGGAGGUGUGCUGAAGACAGGGAUGUGCAUCCCUUUCCCGAGGGAAAAGAAUCUGUAGAGGCCACUGCUGAGGCUCUGAAAGGAGCUGAGCUUCUGCAGGGAGAGAUGUCCCCCCCUGGGCACAGGGGCUGCCCCAGCACAGGCUGGGAGCACAUCUGGCCACUGCCUUCUCCUGCUUUAAACACCAACUGGAUGUUCUCCAUCCUGGAGCUCAGGGGCUGAAAUCAGCUCAAUUCCAGGCAGCUCUGUCCAGUGCCCCCAGGGACACCAUUGGGGUGAGGGUUAUAAACAGCCAGUUCUAUGGAAUGUAACCCUGUCCUUGUCCCUGUGCUGCUGCUGAGCUUCCUUGGAAGCUCUGCUGGCUCCUGGCACAGCUGCUGUCCAAGGCAGCAGCUCUGCAUGGGAAUGCCCACACUCCAUGGGGCACUGGGAGGUUACUGCAGUGGGAAUGGAGCAGGGAAUUUGGGGCUCUGGGUAUAAUUCAUCAGAACUAGCACAGCUGACAGGGAACCCCAAAUCUGGGCACCACACAGAGAACAAUCUUUGUCCUGCCCUGUCAGCUCAAACCCCUGGGCUGGGAAGUUUUGGGAAUUAAAUGUAUGGAAUUAUACAAAUCACAGCAAUUGGCAUCACCCAGAGGGACAAUCCAGGUCCUAGACAAUUCCUCCACAAUCCACUAUGGGGGAAAACACCCUGUGCCUGCCAGGAGCUCUGACUGCUUUUCCUACCAGCUCCUGAGCAGUGUCAGGGCCACCAUGAGGGCUUUAAAACCCAAAUAAACCCCAUAUCCCACACAGUGAUAAUCCAAAUAAAGAAAUGCAUUCUUGUCAUCAAAGCUCAAAACUGUGUUAGGAGUUCUGACAACAAGUUAAUGGGAUUCCCAGCAAUCUCAUCAAUGCUCUUGGUUUCAUUUUUAUGUAGUUUUAAUCCCUCAGUGGGCAGCCUGUACAACUUAUUCUGGGAUUUAGAGGUUGAGCAGGGCUGGCUUUGGAUUGACCUUCACCUCUGGCCCCAGCCUGUGCAAACACACCUUGUGCCAGGGUGCCCUGGUGACACCAUGUUGGUCCCUUUGCCCUUCUCCAGCCCGAGGCUGCUCCUCUGCUCGCUCUCUCCAGCCUCAUCCCACAGGGAUCCUCUUGUCCCUUCCCUGCUGGUGCUGCCAAGGAAGGAGGACACAGUGAGUCCCAGGGCUGCCCCCUCAGCCCUGGAGAGUCCUGGCUGUGGGCCCUCGGAUUUCCCAGGGGAAUUGUCUGCUGGGCUCCCUUCAAUGACCUCAGCAAUUCCCUCACAAAUGCCACCUCACUCCCCCUGACAUCCCCUCACAUUGCAUUUUCCCACACAAACAGUUCUUGUAUCCCCUCUAGGUUACACCAGGUUUUCAACUACAUGAAUGGCAUCAUCUGUGCCCACUGCUCGUUACUCACCCAACCAAAAUCAAGAGCAAAUGUUGGUUGGGCUUUAAGAACUUGAAAUAACUUUAAAUCAAAAUAAAUCACCUUUUUCUUCUGGG
Molecule: long non-coding RNA, 2297 nt
Organism: Melospiza georgiana
Lineage: Eukaryota; Metazoa; Chordata; Aves; Passeriformes; Passerellidae
Exons: 3
Source: RefSeq, a predicted model, not a curated record